RNAcentral lists this ribosomal RNA (254 nucleotides) under uncultured bacterium. RNAcentral describes it as "partial 16S ribosomal RNA". It matches the Rfam family "Bacterial small subunit ribosomal RNA", at positions 524 to 776 of the family's 1533-position model. The record is from RNAcentral.
UACGUAGGGGGCGAGCGUUGUCCGGAAUCAUUGGGCGUAAAGAGCUCGUAGGCGGCUCAGCAAGUCGGCUGUGAAAUUCCGAGGCUCAACCUCGGAACUGCAGUCGAUACUGCUGUGACUCGAGUCCGGUAGAGGAGAAUGGAAUUCCCGGUGUAGCGGUGAAAUGCGCAGAUAUCGGGAGGAACACCAGUAGCGAAGGCGGUUCUCUGGGCCGGUACUGACGCUGAGGAGCGAAAGCGUGGGGAGCAAACAGG